CUGGUUGAUCCUGCCGGCGGGCACCGCUAUCGGAAUACGAUUAAGGCAUGCGAGUCGAGAGGUGCAAGACCUCGGCAGACGGCUGAGUAACACGCGGGUAACCUGCCCUGGAGUGGGGGAUAAUCUCGGGAAACUGAGGAUAAUACCCCAUAGGUGUGGUGUGCUGGAAUGCUUCCACGCUGAAAACCACGGUGCUCCAGGAUGGGCCUGCGGCCUAUCAGGCUGUAGUGGGUGUAACGGACCCACUAACCUACGACGGGUAGGGGCGUUGAGAGACGGAGCCCCCAGAUGGAUUCUGAGACACGAAUCCAGGCCCUACGGGGCGCAGCAGCUACGAAAACUGCACAAUGUGGGGAAACCACGAUGCGGGUAUUCUGAGCGACAACGCAUUG
RNAcentral lists this ribosomal RNA (392 nucleotides) under uncultured archaeon. Its description in RNAcentral is "bacterial SSU rRNA". It matches the Rfam family "Archaeal small subunit ribosomal RNA", at positions 4 to 398 of the family's 1478-position model. The record is from RNAcentral.